UACGUAGGGUGCAAGCGUUGUACGGAUUUAUUGGGUUUAAAGGGUGCGUAGGUGGCUUUUUAAGUCAUGGGUGAAAGCCCGCAGCUCAACUUUGGAAUUGCCUGUGAUACUGAGGAGCUUGAGUGCGGUUGAGGCAGGUGGAACUGGUGGUGUAGCGGUGAAAUGCAUAGAUACCACCAGGAACACCGAUUGCGAAGGCAGGUUGCUAAGCCGGAACUGACACUGAGGCACGAAAGCGUGGGGAGCAAACAGG
This 253-nucleotide ribosomal RNA is filed under the name uncultured bacterium. Its description in RNAcentral is "partial 16S ribosomal RNA". It matches the Rfam family "Bacterial small subunit ribosomal RNA", at positions 524 to 776 of the family's 1533-position model. The record is from RNAcentral.